AUGGAGUUUAGAAGAUUGAGAAGGGAUCUCAAUGAAACUUACUGGACAAUGAAAGGCAUAGAUUGACUGGAUGUGGAGAGGAUGUUUCCAGUAGUGGGAGAGUCUAGAACCAGAGUGCACAGCCUCAGA
Amblyraja radiata (thorny skate) is the source of this 129-nucleotide long non-coding RNA. RefSeq lists it as uncharacterized. The transcript is spliced from 3 exons. The record is from RefSeq and is a predicted model, not a curated record. NCBI's taxonomy places the organism in Eukaryota, Metazoa, Chordata, Chondrichthyes, Rajiformes, Rajidae.